UUCCAGACUCCUACGGGAGGCAGCAGUGGGGAAUAUUGCACAAUGGGGGGAACCCUGAUGCAGCGACGCCGCGUGGGUGAAGGAGUAUUUCGGUAUGUAAAGCCCUAUCAGCAGGGAAGAACAAUGACGGUACCUGACUAAGAAGCACCGGCUAAAUACGUGCCAGCAGCCGCGGUAAUACGUAUGGUGCAAGCGUUAUCCGGAUUCACUGGGUGUAAAGGGAGCGUAGACGGCGACGCAAGUCUGGAGUGAAAGCCCGGGGCCCAACCCCGGGACUGCUCUGGAAACUGCGGCGCUGGAGUACGGGAGGGGCAGGCGGAAUUCCUGGUGUAGCGGUGAAAUGCGUAGAUAUCAGGAGGAACACCGGCGGCGAAGGCGGCCUGCUGGACCGUGACUGACGUUGAGGCUCGAGAGCGUGGGGAGCAAACAGGAUUAGAUACCCCCGUAA
RNAcentral lists this ribosomal RNA (448 nucleotides) under uncultured bacterium. RNAcentral's name for it is "bacterial SSU rRNA". It matches the Rfam family "Bacterial small subunit ribosomal RNA", at positions 329 to 793 of the family's 1533-position model. The record is from RNAcentral.